GGGUUCGAUUAUGGCUCAGAUUGAACGCUGGCGGGAUGCUUUACACGGCAUGCAAGUCGAACGGCAGCACGGACUUCGGUCUGGUGGCGAGUGGCGAACAGGUGAGUAAUGUAUCGGAACGUGCCUAGUAGCGGGGGAUAACUACGCGAAAGCGUAGCUAAUACGCCGCCCUUCGAAGCGGGGACCUUCGGGCCUCGCACUAUUAAGAGCAGCCAUUAUCGGAUUAGCUAGUUGGUGGGGUAACGGCUCACAAGGCGACGAUCCGUAGCUGGUUUAGAGGACGACCAGCCACACCAGGACUGGGACGGCUGAACUCCUGCGGAGAGAGCAACGGUGGAAUUUUACUGGACAAUGGAAACCCAGUUGUCAUCCGUGUCGUGAAGGCCUUCGGUUUGUAGCCUUUGGCGGCGGGAAGGAAGCGGCAUGAAAUAAUACCGUCACAACUGACGGUACUCUGCUCAGGAAUAUGCGGCCAACCAUGCCAGCAACCACCGAUAAUACGUAGGGUACUAAGCGUUAAUCAAUUUAUAUGGUAAAGCAUGCGCAGGCUGGUUGAAAAAAAAUGCAAAAUCUAGAAGCAACUUUGGAACUGCAUUUUAACUGCAGCGACUAGAGUGUGUCAGAGAGUGGAAUUCCGCGCGUGUAGCAGUGAAAUGCGUAGAUAUGCGGAGGAGCACCGAUAGCGAGGCAGCCUCCUGGGAUAACACUGGCGCUCAUGCACGAAAGCGUGGGGAGCAAACAGGAUUAGAUACCCUGGUAGUUCACGCCUAAACGAUGUCAACUAGCGCUGUUGUUGGGGCCUUCGGGCCUUGGUAGCGCAGCUAACGCGUGAAGUUGACCGCCUGGGGAGUACGGUCGCAAGAUUAAAACUCAAAGGAAUUGACGGGGACCCGCACAAGCGGUGGAUGAUGUGGAUUAAUUCGAUGCAACGCGAAAAAACCUUACUUACCCUUGACAUGUCUGGAAUCCCGAAGAGAGAUUUGGGAGUGCUCGCAAGAGAACCGGAACACAGGUGCUGCAUGGCUGUCGUCAGCUCGUGUCAUGCGAGAUGUUGCGGUUAAGUCCGCAACGAGCGCAACCCUUGUCAUUAGUUGCUACGAGGCACUCUAAUGAGACUGCCGGUGACAAACCGGAGGAAGGUGGGGAUGACGUCAAGUCCUCAUGGCCCAUAUGGGUAGGGCUUCACACGUCAUACAAUGGUGGGACAGAGGGUCGCCAACCCGCGAGGGUAAUCCCAGAGAAACAGUCGUGGUCGAGAUCAUGAUCUGCAACUCGACUGCGUGAAGUCGGGAAUCGCUAGUAAUCGCGGAUCAGCAUGUCGCGGUGAAUACGUUCCCGGGUCUUGUACACACCGCCCGUCACACCAUGGGGUAAGUUUUGCAGAAGUAGUUAGCCUAACCGUAAGGAGGGCGAUUACCACAGUAGGAUUCAUGACUGGGGUAGAAGUCGUAACAAGGGUAG
This 1461-nucleotide ribosomal RNA is filed under the name uncultured Bordetella sp. Its description in RNAcentral is "partial 16S-23S ribosomal RNA intergenic spacer". It matches the Rfam family "Bacterial small subunit ribosomal RNA". The record is from RNAcentral. Lineage: Bacteria; Pseudomonadati; Pseudomonadota; Betaproteobacteria; Burkholderiales; Alcaligenaceae.